UACGUAGGGUGCAAGCGUUAAUCGGAAUUACUGGGCGUAAAGCGUGCGCUGGCGGUUAUAUAAGACAGAUGUGAAAUCCCCGGGCUCAACCUGGGAACUGCAUUUGUGACUGUAUAGCUAGAGUACGGUAGAGGGGGAUGGAAUUCCGCGUGUAGCAGUGAAAUGCGUAGAUAUGCGGAGGAACACCGAUGGCGAAGGCAAUCCCCUGGACCUGUACUGACGCUCAUGCACGAAAGCGUGGGGAGCAAACAGG
RNAcentral lists this ribosomal RNA (253 nucleotides) under uncultured bacterium. RNAcentral describes it as "partial 16S ribosomal RNA". It matches the Rfam family "Bacterial small subunit ribosomal RNA", at positions 524 to 776 of the family's 1533-position model. The record is from RNAcentral.